GACGAACGCUGGCGGCGUGCCUAAUACAUGCAAGUUGAGCGCUGAAGGUUGGUACUUGUACCGACUGGAUGAGCAGCGAACGGGUGAGUAACGCGUGGGGAAUCUGCCUUUGAGCGGGGGACAACAUUUGGAAACGAAUGCUAAUACCGCAUAAAAACUUUAAACACAAGUUUUAAGUUUGAAAGAUGCAAUUGCAUCACUCAAAGAUGAUCCCGCGUUGUAUUAGCUAGUUGGUGAGGUAAAGGCUCACCAAGGCGAUGAUACAUAGCCGACCUGAGAGGGUGAUCGGCCACAUUGGGACUGAAACACGGCCCAAACUCCUACGGGAGGCAGCAGUAGGGAAUCUUCGGCAAUGGACGAAAGUCUGACCGAGCAACGCCGCGUGAGUGAAGAAGGUUUUCGGAUCGUAAAACUCUGUUGGUAGAGAAGAACGUUGGUGAGAGUGGGAAGCUCAUCAAGUGACGGUAACUACCCAGAAAGGGACGGCUAACUACGUGCCAGCCGCCGCAGUAA
This 513-nucleotide ribosomal RNA is filed under the name uncultured bacterium. RNAcentral's name for it is "partial 16S ribosomal RNA". It matches the Rfam family "Bacterial small subunit ribosomal RNA", at positions 28 to 523 of the family's 1533-position model. The record is from RNAcentral.